AACUGCAGUGCACCACAGACAGACAACAGAGACACCAAUGGAGAUGCAUAUCAGAGCAACUACUCAACUACUAGUCACUGAAGUUAGAAUCAUACAGUAGAUAUUACCAUUAGGAGUCAGUUAGAAAGGUAAUCAUACAGUAGAUAUUACCAUUAGGAGUCAGUUAGAAAGGUAAUCAUACAGUAGAUAUUACCAUUAGGAGUCAGUUAGAAAGGUAAUCAUUAGUAAGAUAAUACUAUAAGUAAAAGUUAAAAUCAUAUAUACCACAAUAAAAGGUCAGACAGUCUGAAUUAGUUGAUUAAUUGAUUGAUUGGUUUAAUCAUUGAUAUCCGGUACUGUUAGUUAAGAUGGCCGACUACGUCAACAAACAGGUGAUUGAAUUAAAAGAAGUUAAUGAAGAAAACCAGAAUAGAGCAACGAGGAGCGUGAAGACUGAGAACCAUCUCUCAGAUGGAAGACUAAGACUCUACAGGCUGGCUGCUGUGUGUUUAGGAGUGCUGUGUGUUCUACAAGUCACUCUCAACAUCUACCUGAGACUGGCUUUCUAUAACAGAGGAAAUGAGACUGUGGAGAGAGACCAGCUACAGACCAGUUACAACACACUGACUGAAGAGAGAGACCAGCUACAGACCAGUUACAACACACUGACUGAAGAGAGAGACCAGCUACAGACCAGUUACAACACACUGACUGAAGAGAGAGACCAGCUACAGACCAGUUACAACACACUGACUGAAGAGAGAGACCAGCUACAGACCAGUUACAACACACUGACUGAAGAGAGAGACCAGCUACAGACCAGUUACAACACACUGACUGAAGAGAGAGACCAGCUUCAGAAGGAAAGAGAUGAUCUCAUGAGAAAGUUUUCUAAUCUGAAACAAACCUGUCCUGAAGGCUGGCAGAAGUUUGAAUCCAGUUGGUACUUCCUGUCUACUGUGAAAAAACCCUGGGGGAAAGCAGGCAGGACUGUCUGAUGAGAGGAGCAGACCUGGUGAUCGUAAACAGUGAUAAGGAACAGGAGUUUCUCUUCAGCUUCAAUAAGAGAGCCUGGAUUGGUCUGACUGACUCUGUUACUGAGGGGGCCUGGAAAUUUGUGGACGGCACCCCACUGACCACCCCAAGUUACUGGUACUCACAGCAGCCUGAUAAUGGUGGUGACAACCCAGCAAAUCGGAAGGAGGACUGUGUUGAGCUGAACAUGGAAACAUGGCGUCCUGUAAAGGCAUGGAAUGACCUGUCAUGUUUACUCACCGU
Molecule: long non-coding RNA, 1257 nt
Organism: Oncorhynchus keta (chum salmon)
Lineage: Eukaryota; Metazoa; Chordata; Actinopteri; Salmoniformes; Salmonidae
Exons: 6
Source: RefSeq, a predicted model, not a curated record